RNAcentral lists this ribosomal RNA (254 nucleotides) under uncultured bacterium. RNAcentral describes it as "partial 16S ribosomal RNA". It matches the Rfam family "Bacterial small subunit ribosomal RNA", at positions 524 to 777 of the family's 1533-position model. The record is from RNAcentral.
UACGAAGGGGGCUAGCGUUGCUCGGAAUCACUGGGCGUAAAGGGUGCGUAGGCGGGUCUUUAAGUCAGGGGUGAAAUCCUGGAGCUCAACUCCAGAACUGCCUUUGAUACUGAAGAUCUUGAGUUCGGGAGAGGUGAGUGGAACUGCGAGUGUAGAGGUGAAAUUCGUAGAUAUCGGGAGGAACACCAGUGGCGAAGGCGACUACCUGGCCUGUUCUUGACGCUGAGGCGCGAAAGCUAGGGGAGCAAACGGGG